UAUAACAAUGCCAACUUUAUUAAAAUUUAGGCAAAAGACCAAUUAAAAUUAAUGAUUGUAUACAGAACACUGCAAAAUUCAGAUCAAACUAUCUAGACUAAUUCACAGAUUUCCAUUUUAACUAUAGCAGCCCAUCUGCCCAAAUCCAAAGGACAUGGUCACAACCCCCCUCCCCCACAGGGAUGGUGAUUGGGUUAAGGGUGUCACUGUGGGAAACUAAUUUGAAAAACAAACCACACCUAUAAAUGCCAAUCAUACUUUGAGUGGGAAAAAAGUUAGACUAUACUGACACAAAAGGGCUUGUACUCUGUACCUUGCAUUUUGUAAAACAGUUUUAUUUCUCAUAACAAGGUAAAACAAGCAAAACCAAAUGGGCCCUUUUCAGAUGUGACCUAACUGUAUAAGGAACAAGACAGUCAUGUGAACCAACCCAACAGAAGAGACAACAGACUGGAGGAAAUCAGUCCCAGGCAUCCAACUCACUGCAAGACCUCAACCAACCAUGCUAAAUGGUCCCAACACGUACUGCUAAGUGUAGGAAAACACUUACUUUACUUCACAAGACCCAAAAGUUAAGAAGCAUUACAACGUGCACUUACUGGCAUUAUUAUAUAUGAAACACUAUUCUGUACUAUAUAACAUGUUCUUGAAGAAUUGUUUGGCAAAAGAUUUUGGCAUAAAGUAUAACAGAGAUCUUACAACAGUAGGACAUAUGAAUGUUUAUGUACAGACAUUUUGUUUUUACUGCAUUAGCUUCAGUUAAUGACAGCAGGCACAUACACCAUCUUUUCAUGCUGGGAUCUAAUAUUUUUGAAUGCUAUAACAUUUUGUCAUGACAAAACAUUAAAAUAUUCACUAAAGAAUAAACUUCAGAAGGGGAAAAUUCUAAAAGAUGCAUACCUUACUUCUGUGUGAAUUAACGAACGCAUAUAAGUAGCACUGCAUACAAACUCUUGUGUCUAAAUAAAAGUUACCAAUAUUUUCUUACCAACUGUUCCAAGGGAAAUGACAACUAUAACACAUUAAAAUAUGCCCCUUUCUAACACAAGUAAUAAUGCUUUAUACUUUUUGACGUGCAGCCUGAAACACCAAUUUGUUUUCUGAUAGUCUUGAAGAAAGGGUCACAGAUUUCUUCAGCCCAGACCUUCAAAGGUAGCACAGACAGCAAGGUCUAUUUUCUAAAGUUGCUUUUUCUUUCUAUGGAAAGAAUUUAAGACUGAAAAGUUUACAACAUUUCUGUUUGGUUAAUUCUGACUGAAUUAUCCGAACCUGCAAUAACUUGCUGAAUAAAAAAGACCUUGUCGGCAGAAAAGAAAAGCAGUACAGAUGCACUACAGUGUGAGGUUUUAGCAUUACUUUCUAACCACUUAAUAUGCCACACUCACUACAGUGUGAGGUUUUAGCAUUACUUUCUAACCACUUAAUACGCCACACUCCACUGUUCUUAGUCCCUGCAGUACUUAAACUGUAACACAACCUGAAAAACGGAUUACUAAGUUAGUCAAUUCGGACAGCUCUCCGGCUACCAGUCAGAACGAGGCAUCUUAAUAUUAAAAGGACUUCUAUAAAACAGGCUGACACCACCACACAAAAGCUGUAAUAGUCAGCAGAAGCAGUCACUGUAACAAGCAAAUUGAUCAAGGAAUGGUGCUUGUGGAACACUUAAUGACUUCUGUAUAUCAGCAAUAGUGCUUCUUUGUUUGAGAGGAAUUAAGGCUUGUCAGAGAACUAAAGGUCAAGUAGUUAUGUUAACAUUUCAACAAGACCCAUAUUAAUAAAUUAUAAUCCCAGAAAAAAAAAAUAAGAUGUAAAGAUUUUCUUAAAAAUCUACUAGAUUCACAGUGCUAACAACUGCAUCUCAUACUUGGGCACACAGCUAAGUAUUUGCUUCUUAAAAUGUAUGAUGCAGUACACAGUAUGCGUGCCAAGGUAUCCUAAAUGCAGUAGCAUGUCGGUCUGGGCACAUAAACGUCAUCUGAAAAAACUUUCACAGCAAAAUUUGAAAGCAACAUGUCAAAUGAAGAAAAUUAUCAGAACACACUACUCAAGGCACUAAGGGCAGCAAACUCACAUCAGUCGCCUGAAGAUGCCUUUAAUGACCUACUUAAAGAAUUUUUUUCAAUAAUUGCCCGGGCCAUUAUAAACACUACAAUUUGCCAAGAAGCUUUGCUUGCCUACCAGUAGGCUGCUUAAAAAUGCAUGUCUUGCUACUGCAUUAUAACACACUGCAUUUUAAGAGGCUGAAAUUUAACAAAGAGAAUUCCAACAAUAAACAAAGCACUGACUUCUAAUGGGUGACCGCAAGUCAAUGAGGCCAGGUGGAGCACUCUGGAAACAGUACCCAUUUUCCUCAUACUCAGACAGAUAGAUGGGCUUAAGGAGAAACUAACAACUUAAGCUUGGUAUGUUUUAACAAUGCAUGAGGCCUCCUCUUUACUUCAUCUUAUUAAAGACAUCUGAUCAAUUAAGUACUAAAAAUAAAAUACAGGGCUUUUAACCUCUCCAAGCAUUGGUGCCCAAAAGUGGAUCACUCACAGAAAGGCUUCACACAGUUGUUCCUAAUAUUCAUUACAGUAUUACACAUGAUACAGUUACAUCUUAGCAGCUUCCAAUGCAGAACCACUUCUACGCCCACAUAAAAUUAUUGUAACCCAAAGCUGCAAAAGUCCAAAACAGCAAAUCUCUUCACAAAACUUGAUACAACUUUUCCGAUGAUUGUCUUUUUUUUUUUUUGAAGUGCAGAAAUUGGUCAGGAGAAGACAAAUUACAUAUUAUGAAAUAAAGCAUAAUAUAAUAAAAUACAAUACAAAAACACACUUUCCAGACACUACUUCCCCAUGUCAGCAAAGGCAGAUUUUUUUUUUAAACUCAGGAGGAAGCUAUAAGCAAAGAAAA
Protopterus annectens (West African lungfish) is the source of this 2895-nucleotide long non-coding RNA. RefSeq lists it as uncharacterized. The transcript has 2 exons. The record is from RefSeq and is a predicted model, not a curated record. Lineage: Eukaryota; Metazoa; Chordata; Ceratodontiformes; Protopteridae.